Molecule: ribosomal RNA, 502 nt
Filed under: uncultured bacterium
Lineage: Bacteria
Description: partial 16S ribosomal RNA
Rfam family: Bacterial small subunit ribosomal RNA
Source: RNAcentral
AUUGAACGCUGGCGGAAUGCUUUACACAUGCAAGUCGAACGGCAGCACGGGAGCUUGCUCCUGGUGGCGAGUGGCGAACGGGUGAGUAAUGCAUCGGAACGUACCUAUUAGUGGGGGAUAACUAUCCGAAAGGAUGGCUAAUACCGCAUACGUCCUGAGGGAGAAAGCGGGGGAUCGUAAGACCUCGCGCUAAUAGAGCGGCCGAUGUUGGAUUAGCUAGUUGGUGGGGUAAAGGCCUACCAAGGCGACGAUCCAUAGCUGGUCUGAGAGGAUGAUCAGCCACACUGGGACUGAGACACGGCCCAGACUCCUACGGGAGGCAGCAGUGGGGAAUUUUGGACAAUGGGCGCAAGCCUGAUCCAGCCAUGCCGCGUGCGGGAAGAAGGCCUUCGGGUUGUAAACCGCUUUUGUCAGGGAAGAAAUCUUUCGGGCUAAUACCCCGGAAGGAUGACGGUACCUGAAGAAUAAGCACCGGCUAACUACGUGCCAGCAGCCGCCGUAA